Molecule: ribosomal RNA, 483 nt
Filed under: Triticum aestivum (bread wheat)
Lineage: Eukaryota; Viridiplantae; Streptophyta; Magnoliopsida; Poales; Poaceae
Description: partial small subunit ribosomal RNA
Source: RNAcentral
AUGGGAUACUGGUUCUUCGGCGGCCACGGCGGCUUCUACAUACCCUCCUAUGACGGGAGCCAGCCUCGACCCGCUGGCCCUCACCGGCCGCUGCUGUAUGGUACUGUGCCAUACGACGAGGAGAUCCGCCGGAUGGAAGAAGGCGUCCGCCUCCGUCAACGGCCACCGCCCAACCCCACAGUCUGGAAAUACUUCAAGAUCUUCACUAGGUGUUUCAUGGCCGCGAUGAGCAUCACGAUGAUGGCUUGGAUAUUUGUGGCACGAUAUUUCGGUUCGGAUCCUCAGGUGCAGGAUCCCUAUAUUAUGAUGGGACUUAUCGUCUUUGCUCUCAUACCAAUGGGAUUCGGCUUAAUGAUAACAGAAGGAGAUAUAGAGGCCCAGGACACACGUGCUCAAGGGGAGGCACUGUCAAGCCCGAGCCAUGGAUUUGAGGAUCUUCGUGCGGAUGUGGCUAGGAUUUGUGCAUUUCUCGAGAUACGCUAA